This 262-nucleotide ribosomal RNA is filed under the name uncultured bacterium. RNAcentral describes it as "partial 16S ribosomal RNA". It matches the Rfam family "Bacterial small subunit ribosomal RNA", at positions 75 to 334 of the family's 1533-position model. The record is from RNAcentral.
AUUCGUACGAAGGUGUCCUAGUGGCGAACGGGUGAGUAACACGUUGGUGACCUGCCCCGAAGAGAGGGACAACCCCGGGAAACCGGGGCUAAUACCUCAUGUGCUCCAUGGUGUUAGAGGACCAUGGAGGAAAGGGAGCAAUCCGCUUCGGGAGGGGCCUGCGGCCCAUCAGCUAGUUGGUGGGGUAACGGCCUACCAAGGCGACGACGGGUAGGGGACCUGAGAGGGUGGUCCCCCACACUGGUACUGAAACACGGACCAG